Molecule: ribosomal RNA, 1003 nt
Filed under: uncultured bacterium
Lineage: Bacteria
Description: bacterial SSU rRNA
Rfam family: Bacterial small subunit ribosomal RNA
Source: RNAcentral
GGAGGCAGCAGUGAGAAUAUUCACCAAUGGGCGAAAGCCUGAUGCAAGCACGCCGCGUGUGUGAUGAAGCUUCGGGUCGUAAAGCACUUUUCUGGGAGAUGAGAAAGGACAGUAUCCCAGGAAUAAGUCUCGGCUAACUACGUGCCAGCAGCCGCGGUAAAACGUAGGAGGCAAGCGUUAUCCGGAUUCACUGGGCGUAAAGCGCGUGCAGGUGGUUCGGUAAGUUGGGCAUGAAAUCUCCCGGCUCAACUGGGAGAGGUCGUUCAAUACUACCGAACUUGAGAGCAGAAGAGGAAGAUGGAAUUCCCGGUGUAGUGGUGAAAUGCGUAGAGAUGCGGAGGAACACCAGUGGCGAAGGCGAUCUUCUGGUCUGUUUCUGACACUCAGACGCGACAGCUAGGGUAGUAAACGGGAUUAGAGACCCCGGUAAUCCUAGCCGUAAACGAUGUGAACUUGGCGUUGGUGGGUUAAACUCCAUCAGUGCCGAAGCAAACGCGAUAAGUUCACCGCCUGGGGACUACGGCCGCAAGGUUAAAACUCAAAGGAAUUGACGGGGGCCCGCACAAGCAGCGGAGCGUGUGGUUUAAUUCGAUGCUACACGAAGAACCUUACCCAGGCUUGACAUACAGGUGGUAGGGAUCCGAAAGGUGACCGACCCGCAAGGGAGCCUGAACAGGUGUUGCAUGGCUGUCGUCAGCUCGUGUCGUGAGAUGUUCGGUUAAGUCCGCUAACGAGCGCAACCCUCGCUGCGUGUUACAAGUGUCACGCAGGACCGCCGGUAUUAAGCCGGAGGAAGGUGGGGAUGACGUCAAGUCAGCAUGGCCUUUAUGCCUGGGGCUACACACACGCUACAAUGGGCAGUACAAUGGGUUGCUAAGCCGCGAGGUGGAGCCAAUCCCCCAAAACUGUCCUCAGUUCAGAUUGCAGGCUGUAACUCGCCUGCAUGAAGCCGGAGUUGCUAGUAAACGCGCGUCUGCUAUAGCGCGGUGAAUACGUUCCCGGG